This 1654-nucleotide long non-coding RNA is filed under the name Gallus gallus (chicken). The record is from RNAcentral. Lineage: Eukaryota; Metazoa; Chordata; Aves; Galliformes; Phasianidae.
AGCUGUGACACCAACGUGGCCAGGAAAGCAAUUCCUACUCCAAGACCAAAGCCACUUCGUGAUCUAUCAAAUGUCCACCACAGCCCAAUUGACAGGGCUGCUAACGUGAGAGACAACUGGAUAUUGUUGGCAAAAUCCACUUUAGCGCUGGCAUGAUUUAUUCCCACAAAGACCGCUACACACCGCAUUACACUGGACCAUUCUCUCUUAAAUUUAUGUGGCUCUCCCAGAUGUCUGUCCAUGCAUGGGUACAAUAACCCAAUCACAGCAAAUUCAUGCCAUGACUGGUUACAGAUGAAAUGUAUGGACCACUCUUUUUUGGUAAUGUUGGCUUUGCAUCAUUUUCCGCCAUGACUUCUUAUGUUCUCAGAGGCAUCCGACAGGCUCACUGAGGAGGAUUCACUUGUAGUUGGGAUUUCAAUUAGGAGCUACCCAAACCUCGGCCUCCGCCAUCUUCUCCUCCCGCGCCAGUCCCCGCCCCGCGCAGCCUCCGCAGCCUCCCGCCGGCGGGGGCGGGCCGGCCCGGGCGCUCCGAGUGCCGGCCCGCGGGGCGGAGGGCCCUGAGGCGCCGGGCAGCGCGGUGGUCGCGGUCCCUCAACCGCUCGCCAUCACACUUGUGCUGCAGCUACCUCCCAGCCCCGCCGCCCUCAGCGUCUGUUGGUCAUACAACAGCGCUGCUUUGCACUUGUAUCAGGGCAAAAUGCAGAGAACGCAGAAAACAGCUCGCGUCCACCCGAGUGUUUCACUUCUCCUAAGCGAAAACGUGAAGCGUAAAAUCAGAGUUCACACGCGCUGGUCGAAAGCAACGUGCGUGCAGAGUAAGGGGAGAAGUAAACAACCCAAAAUUCAGCGGUGGUUAAACUGUACAGCGCUUGUUGUGUGUGGGAAUGGGUUGCCAGGAUAAACGGACGGACGUGGGCCUUGGGCUGUCUGUGACAUGGCUACACAGCAAACUGCAGGAGCGGAACGUGGAAGAUGAAAUACUCCUCAGCUAUCGCUGCUCCCUGAGCCCAGCUGUCUCGAGCACCUGACUGCAGAGAGUUGCACGUGUGCUUAACUUUACUGAUUAAGGCAAAAGGAGACACAGCUCAUUACUCCAGAAACCACAUUUUCAUCACCAAUUUGUGGUCUCUCGGGGGGAAGGCGAAAUGUGAAGCAGGCAGCAAUCUGCUUUAACCUUUCUUCACAAGCAGACAAGGCAUAACAAUAAAAAAACAUCAUUUAUUGUAUACGUGGGAAGGUAUAUAGGGGCAUAAUGCUGCUGUAUUCAUUAUUAAAUCUAUUUCUGUAUCAUGGUCAUUAUUAUUCCCUCUGAACUUUUUCUGUUCUCAUUGCACUGAUAUCUAAUACAAUUUAAAAAUGUUUGCACACAGCCUUCUUGUUUCAUUGCAGACACUUUGCUGAGCUCUCCGUAUUCCCAGGCUCAUUCACAGAGGUUCAGUGCAGUGGAGUUCCCGUUUCCAGCCCUCGGUUAAUGCUUGGAUGGGAUGAAAUUGGUUACUGUGUUUACUACAGCAGUAUCUUUAGCGAUAACUGUAGUUUCUCUGUGCUGAUAAGCUCUGAAAAACACUGUACCAAAACAUAGAUAAAGGAGAGGAUAUGGAUCUGUAAUAGACAUAAUAAAAAUGGGAAAGGAAGAGAUUUACAGCAGCAG